UGGGAAUCUUGCACAAUGGGCGAAAGCCUGAUGCAGCAACGCCGCGUGCGGGAAGACAGCCCUAGGGUUGUAAACCGCUUUCAGCAGGGAAGAAACUGACGGUACCUGCAGAAGAAGAUGCGGCCAACUACGUGCCAGCAGCCGCGUGACACGUAGGCAUCAAGCGUUAUCCGGAUUUAUUGGGCGUAAAGAGCUCGUAGGCGGUUCGGUAAGUCGGGUGUGAAAACUCUGGGCUCAACCCAGAGAGGCCACUCGAUACUGCUGUGACUAGAGUGCGGUAGGGGAGCGGGGAAUUCCUGGUGUAGCGGUGAAAUGCGCAGAUAUCAGGAGGAACACCAGUGGCGAAGGCGCCGCUCUGGGCCGUAACUGACGCUGAGGAGCGAAA
This 385-nucleotide ribosomal RNA is filed under the name uncultured bacterium. Its description in RNAcentral is "bacterial SSU rRNA". It matches the Rfam family "Bacterial small subunit ribosomal RNA", at positions 356 to 758 of the family's 1533-position model. The record is from RNAcentral.